AGAGUUUGACCUGGUUCGGCCGGGGAUUAGUGGCGAACGGGUGAGUUUACACGUGGGCAAUCUGCCCUGCACUCUGGGACAAGCCCUGGAAACGGGGUCUAAUACCGGAUAUGACUGCCGACCGCAUGGUCUGGUGGUGGAAAGCUCCGGCGGUGCAGGAUGAGCCCGCGGCCUAUCAGCUUGUUGGUGGGGUGAUGGCCUACCAAGGCGACGACGGGUAGCCGGCCUGAGAGGGCGACCGGCCACACACGGCCCAGACUCCUACGGGAGGCAGCAGUGGGGAAUAUUGCACAAUCGGCGCAAGCCUGAUGCAGCGACGCCGCGUGAGGGAUGACGGCCUUCGGGUUGUAAACCUCUUUCAGCAGGGAUGAAGCGCAAGUGACGGUACCUGCAGAAGAAGCGCCGGCUAACUACGUGCAGCAGCCGCGGUAAUACGUACGGCGCAAGCGUUGUCCGGAAUUAUUGGGCGUAAAGAGCUCGUAGGCGGCUUGUCGCGUCGGAUGUGAAAGCCCGGGGCUUAACUCCGGGUCUGCAUUCGAUACGGGCAGGCUAGAGUUCGGUAGGGGAGAUCGGAAUUCCUGGUGUAGCGGUGAAAUGCGCAGAUAUCAGGAGGAACACCGGUGGCGAAGGCGGAUCUCUGGGCCGAUACUACGCUGAGGAGCGAAAGCGUGGGGAGCGAACAGGAUUAGAUACCCUGCUAGUCCACGCCGUAAACGUUGGCUACUAGGUGUGGGCGACAUUCCACGUUGUCCGUGCCGCAGCUAUCGCAUUAAGUUCCCCGCCUGGGGAGUAGGCCGCAAGGCUAAAACUCAAAGGAAUUGACGGGGGCCCGCACAAGCGGCGGAGCAUGUGGCUUAAUUCGACGCAACGCGAAGAACCUUACCAAGGCUUGACAUACAUCGGAAACCUCUGGAGACAGGGCCCCCUUGUGGUCGGUGUACAGGUGGUGCAUGGCUGUCGUCAGCUCGUGUCGUGAGAUGUUGGGUUAAGUCCCGCAACGAGCGCAACCCUUGUCCUGUGUUGCCAGCAUGCCCUUUGGGGUGAUGGGGAACUCACAGGACCACUGCCGGGGAUCAACUCGGAGGAAGGUGGGGCACGACGUCAAGUCAUCAUGCCCCUUAUGUCUUGGGCUGGACACGUGCUACAAUGGCCGGUACAAUGAGCUGCGAAGCCGUGAGGUGGAGCGAAUCUCAAAAAGCCGGUCUGAGUUCGGAUUGGGGUCUGCAACUCGACCCCAUGAAGUCGGAGUCGCUAGUAAUCGCAGAUCAGCAUUGCUGCGGUGAAUACGUUCCCGGGCCUUGACACACCGCCCGUCACGUCACGAAAGUCGGUAACACCCGAAGCCGGUGGCCCAACCCUUGUCGCGUUAGUAUCGCAGA
This 1379-nucleotide ribosomal RNA is filed under the name Streptomyces hygroscopicus. Its description in RNAcentral is "bacterial SSU rRNA". It matches the Rfam family "Bacterial small subunit ribosomal RNA". Lineage: Bacteria; Bacillati; Actinomycetota; Actinomycetes; Kitasatosporales; Streptomycetaceae. The record is from RNAcentral.